This 665-nucleotide long non-coding RNA is filed under the name Cotesia glomerata. Its description in RNAcentral is "uncharacterized LOC123260965". The record is from RNAcentral. Lineage: Eukaryota; Metazoa; Arthropoda; Insecta; Hymenoptera; Braconidae.
UCUACAAAUUUUAAAAAUUAUGCCCAAGUAAUUGAAAAUAAAAAGAGUUAUGCUGCUACAUUAAGUGAAAAAAAAGAAGCAUGGGAUUUCAUCGCAACCGACUUUAAUUCAUCUAGUAUAAUUACUGAAAGGCGAAAUGCAGAUCAACUCAAAAAACUUUGGUCAAAUCUAAAAACAAAACAACGGAAUGCGCUGACAACCAAAAAGCAACAUCGCCUUGCAACUGGGGUCGGUCCAUCAAUUCCAGAUUCUGAAGUUGAUCCUGAUAUUUCCUUAUUGCCCCAAACUUAAUUAAAACUGCACCGAUUUUAUUUUCUUCAAAUAAGUCUGAAGAAGAAGUUACUAGGACGUUUUCAUCUUUUUUUCCUUCUCUAAGUGUAAUGCUGUUGACUCAAUGGAAUGUGAAGAAUACAUAAGCCUUGAACAACUAUUCCCAGAUGAUGAGAAUGAUGGCAAUGAUGAUGAAGAAUUACCACGUGAACCCUCAUCGUCUAUUGUUACUAAAAAAUCCUCAACAAUAUAGGAAAAGAACUAAAGGAAGAAAAAAUCCACCCAAUGAAGACGAGAAAUUCUAUAGAAGCGAAAGGUUAAGAAAAUAAUAAAGCAAGAAGAGAAAUUAUUUCAACUGAAAUGUCAACAUAAAGAAGAGAUACAUAAUCUAACAA